AAAGGAAUUGACGGGGGCCCGCACAAGCGGUGGAGCAUGUGGUUUAAUUCGAAGCAACGCGAAGAACCUUACCAAGGCUUGACAUCCCGCUGGCCGGUACAGAGAUGUGCCUUCCCUUCGGGGCAGCGGAGACAGGUGGUGCAUGGUUGUCGUCAGCUCGUGUCGUGAGAUGUUGGGUUAAGUCCCGCAACGAGCGCAACCCUUAUCUUUAGUAACCAGCACGUAAUGGUGGGGACUCUAGAGAGACUGCCAGGGUGAACCUGGAGGAAGGUGGGGAUGACGUCAAAUCAUCAUGCCCCUUAUGUCUUGGGCUACACACGUGCUACAAUGGCUGCGACAGAGGGAAGCGAAAGGGUGACCUGGAGCAAAUCUCAUAAAAGCAGUCUCAGUUCGGAUUGUAGUCUGCAACUCGACUACAUGAAGCUGGAAUCGCUAGUAAUCGCGAAUCAGCAUGUCGCGGUGAAUACGUUCCCGGGCCUUGUACACACCGCCCGU
RNAcentral lists this ribosomal RNA (495 nucleotides) under uncultured bacterium. RNAcentral's name for it is "bacterial SSU rRNA". It matches the Rfam family "Bacterial small subunit ribosomal RNA", at positions 903 to 1397 of the family's 1533-position model. The record is from RNAcentral.